CCUACGGGGGGCAGCAGUGAGGAAUAUUGGUCAAUGGGCGGAAGCCUGAACCAGCCAAGUAGCGUGCAGGAUGACGGCCCUACGGGUUGUAAACUGCGUUUAUACGGGAAUAACGCGCCUUACGUGUAGGGCUUUGCAUGUACCGUAUGAAUAAGGACCGGCUAAUUCCGUGCCAGCAGCCGCGGUAAUACGGAAGGUCCGGGCGUUAUCCGGAUUUAGUGGGGUGAAAGGGAGCGUAGGCCGCAUGUCAAGCGUGCUGUGAAAUGUCCGGGCUCAACCCGGGCCUUGCAGCGCGAACGGGCGUGCUUGAGUCCGCGGCCAGCAGGCGGAAUUCGUCUUGUAGCGGUUAACUGCUUAGCUAUGAC
RNAcentral lists this ribosomal RNA (365 nucleotides) under uncultured bacterium. RNAcentral describes it as "partial 16S ribosomal RNA". It matches the Rfam family "Bacterial small subunit ribosomal RNA", at positions 338 to 700 of the family's 1533-position model. The record is from RNAcentral.